AUUAAAUCUCACUAAAAUCCCAAUUAAAUCCCGAUUUCCAACCCCAAUUAAUCCCCAAUUAAAUCCCAGCCCAAUCCCAAUUAAUCCCCAAUUAAUUCCUAAUUAAAACCCAGAUUUCCAAUUAAUUCCCAAUUGAAUCCCAAUUAAUUCCCAAUUAAUUCCCAAUUUUCCAACCCCAAAAUCCCAAAUAAAUCCCAAUUAAUUUGCAGUAAAAUCCCAAUAAAUCCCAAUAAAAACCUCAUUAAUUCCCAAUUAAAUCCUAAUUAAAUAUCAAUUAAACCCCAAUAAAACCCAAAUAAAGCCCCAAUUAAUUUCCAAUUAAGUCCCGAAUAAAUCCCAAUUAAUUUGCAGUAAAAUCUCAAUAAAUCCCAAUAAAAUCCUCAUUAAUUCCCUAAUUAAAUCCUAAUUAAAUCUCAAUUAAACCCCAAUUAAUUUCUAAUUAAAUUCUAAAUAAAUCAAAAUUAAUUUGCAGUAAAAUCUCAAUAAAUCCCAAUAAAAUCCUAAUUAAAUCUCAAUUAAACCCGAAUAAAACCCCAAUUAAUUUCCAAUUAAAUCCCCAAUAAAUCCCAAUAAAAUCCUCAUUAAUUCCCCAAUUAAAUCCUAAUUAAAUCUCAAUUAAACCCCAAUAAAACCCCAAUUAAUUUCCAAUUAAAUCCCGAAUAAAUUCCCAAUUAAACCCCAAAUAAAUCCCAAUAAAUUCCCAAUUAAAACCCCAAUUAAAUCCCAAUAAAUUCCCAAAUAAAUCCCAAUAAAUUCCAAUUAAAACCCCCAAUUAAUUAAUCCCCAAUUAAUCCCCAUUUCCCAAUAAAAACUCCGCAGCCUCCUCCUUUUAUUCUCAAUUAUUUUCAUUUUUUUAAUCUUUUUUUUUUCCUUUUUUUUCCGCUUUUUUCCAUCUUUUUUUGCCAUUUCCUGGGGCUUUUCCUCAUGCACCAAAUCCCGAAAAAAUUCCGGGAAAAAUCCCAAAAAUUCCCAAAAAAUUCCCAAAAAAAUCAAAAUAUUUCUGCAAAAAUUCCCAAAAAAAUCAAAAUAUUUCUGCAAAAAUUCCCAAAAAAAAUCAAAAUAUUUCUGCAAAAAUUCCCCCAAAAAAAUCAAAAUAUUUCUGCAAAAAUUUCGAUUUUUUGAGGAUUUUUCACCUCAAAAUUCCGAUUUUUUAAAGAUUUUUCACCUUAAAAAUCUCUUAAAAAUUCCAAAUUUUACAGCAAAAAAAAAUUUGGUAAAAAUUUGAGAUAUUUAAAAUAAUUUUUAUUAAUUAAUAAAUUAAGGUGGCUUUAAAAAUUUUAUUUCA
RNAcentral lists this long non-coding RNA (1285 nucleotides) under Junco hyemalis (dark-eyed junco). RNAcentral describes it as "lncRNA (ENSJHYG00000011234.1)". The record is from RNAcentral. Lineage: Eukaryota; Metazoa; Chordata; Aves; Passeriformes; Passerellidae.